AUGGUGCACGUAUCCCUUCUCAAGCGUGCGGUUGGGGCGGAAGUGCCUGUGAACACUCAGUUACCACCUCCUAACGCAGUUUUGCAGGCUGAGCAUUCGCCCGAUGGGGUGAUCGACAUGAAGUUGGUUCGAGUGGACGGCACCUUUGAACCGCGUGUGCUGAUCAAAUGGAGUGAUCUACCUGCAGACCUGGCGACAUGGGAAGACCCAAUCAAACUGCAACAAUGGUAUCCAACAACACCGCCUUGGGGGCAAGGCGGUCCUCAAGGAGGGGAGAAUGUCACGACUAACAAGAGGAGCCACGACAGCGAUGAGAUAGAGGGCCCAGCGGCCAAGGGAAUCGACGAAUCCGUCAAGGGAGAAGCGCUUACAACUGGGACCGGGCGGUCAGCGAGACAAGAAUGA
Molecule: ribosomal RNA, 405 nt
Filed under: Triticum aestivum (bread wheat)
Lineage: Eukaryota; Viridiplantae; Streptophyta; Magnoliopsida; Poales; Poaceae
Description: partial small subunit ribosomal RNA
Source: RNAcentral